GAGAGCAGGAGAGAACCAAACUGUUGUGUAGGCCCUCUCCUAAUCAAUGGAUCACUUUGCUUUUGAAUAAAAUCUGUGAAAGAAAUGGGGAAAAAGGCCACAAAAUACCACCUAGAAACAUAUUUUAUGACAAAGAAACAGGGUGCACCAAACCCAGGCUUCAGUGAGAAAAGAUGGUUGAGUGAACACUACAGCUGUGGAGCUUGUAAAGUUUUCAGGCAGAUUCUGUGGUGGCAGACUGUCACAUCCCUUAGUGGCCACAAUUCCAAAAGGCUGAGAAAGAAAACUCACCAGAAGUUUUUAAGAAGAGAAUCCUGAAAAAAGCUGUAAAGCAGAACUCCAAUCUUCAGCAAUGGGAAAAGAAAAUUUUUUGUUGCUGCUGCUAUAUUUGAAAUGCCCUUGAUUGAGAAUGCAAUGCUGAAAUUCAGAUUAUCCUGAUAGACAUCCCCUUUAAGAGGUGGGGAAGCAUACCUACACAGGCAUUCCCAAAGAGGGAUGUUUAGGGUGAUGGCAAACUGGAAAUGCAAAGGAUGGUUCCUCUCUUAUUUGUGCAACAACUGUGACUGAAUCUUGUUCAUGAGGGCUCCCUGCUGAGGCUGAGAAUUAUUUUUGCUCAAAGAAUGAGCCUGCUUUGUCCUUCCUCCCCCAGCAGCAGGAGAUGAGGUGUGGGGCCCAGGGGACAGGGUGCCCUGCCAUCACAGAGGAAGCCCCUGGCAUAAUUCUCUCUCACAGGAUUUUUUUCCUGGAUAGGCACAGAGAGAAGAAGAUUAAACAAUUCUUAUCUCUCCUUGCUGCCCCUGUUGUUUUUGCACAUGUAGAAUGUGUUAGGAGGAUUGUUUACCUGAAGUGAUUUAUCAAUUGGAUUCUACUAAGGAUUGUUUUAUUUCCUUAGCCAGUUGGGUCAAAGAUGUGUCUGGAGGCAG
RNAcentral lists this long non-coding RNA (923 nucleotides) under Zonotrichia albicollis (white-throated sparrow). RNAcentral's name for it is "lncRNA (ENSZALG00000017840.1)". Lineage: Eukaryota; Metazoa; Chordata; Aves; Passeriformes; Passerellidae. The record is from RNAcentral.